CUACGGGUGGCUGCAGUGAGGAAUAUUGCACAAUGGGGGGAACCCUGAUGCAGCAACGCCGCGUGGAGGAUGACGCAUUUCGGUGUGUAAACUCCUUUUAUAUGUCAAGAAAAUGACGGUAGCAUAUGAAUAAGCACCGGCUAACUCCGUGCCGGCAGCCGCGGUAAUACGGAGGGUGCAAGCGUUACUCGGAAUCACUGGGCGUAAAGGACGCGUAGGCGGGUUGGAAAGUCAGGUGUGAAAUCCUACAGCUUAACUGUAGAACUGCACUUGAAACUUCUAAUCUAGAGUAUGGGAGGGGGAGAUGGAAUUAGUGGUGUAGGGGUAAGAUCCGUAGAUAUCACUAGGAAUACCUAAAGCGAAGGCGAUCUCCUGGAACAUUACUGACGCUAAGGCGUGAAAGCGUGGGGAGCAAACAGGAUUAGAUACCCCGGUAGUC
This 439-nucleotide ribosomal RNA is filed under the name uncultured bacterium. Its description in RNAcentral is "partial 16S ribosomal RNA". It matches the Rfam family "Bacterial small subunit ribosomal RNA", at positions 339 to 795 of the family's 1533-position model. The record is from RNAcentral.